UACAGAGGUCUCAAGCGUUGUUCGGAUUCAUUGGGCGUAAAGGGUGCGUAGGCGGCGCGGUAAGUCGGGUGUGAAAUCUCGGAGCUUAACUCCGAAACUGCAUUCGAUACUGGCGUGCUUGAGGACUGGAGAGGAGACUGGAAUUCAUGGUGUAGCAGUGAAAUGCGUAGAGAUCAUGAGGAAGACCAGUGCGAAGGCGGGUCUCUGGACAGUUCCUGACACUGAGACACGAAGGCCAGGGGAGCAAACGGG
This 252-nucleotide ribosomal RNA is filed under the name uncultured bacterium. RNAcentral's name for it is "partial 16S ribosomal RNA". It matches the Rfam family "Bacterial small subunit ribosomal RNA", at positions 524 to 776 of the family's 1533-position model. The record is from RNAcentral.